UGUUCAAAAAAACCGAUUAACCGAAAAAACCGAGAGAACCGAUAAAAAAUUAACCGAGAAAACCGAACCGAGAAAGAAAACCGAUUAAACCGAUUUUUCAAACCAUAAAAUCUUGCCGGUUCGGUUCGGUUCCGGUUUGACCACUUAAACCGGUGAACCGAACCGGUAGUAUAAAUAAAGAGUAAACCACUAAGCUGCCUAACCCUAAUUGACAUUCUGAAGCCGCCGCCCUUCAAUUUUCAUCCUUCCUCUUCUCCCUUCUGCAUCUAUCUUGCUUUUGCCCUCUGCCCCUGCAUCUUGACUCUUGCCCCUUUAAUUUUCAUCCUCCCUGCGUCUUGCUUUUGCCCCUUGGCUUCUCUCUUCACUUGCAGUAGAAAGAGAGGACUCUUCUAUUAGAGAAAAGGCGACAAGGUUUCGCCAUUGUUUGUGGUCCAUCUCAACUUUCAGGACCUACGUUGUUGUUGCCUUUGGCUUGCCCUGUCAAGUCCAUCAGCAACUACAUGGAUUAUAUUGAAAAUUUUGAGAUGAUUGAGUCAGAAUUUGAUGAAAGUUUAAAAAUCUCAACUGAUUGUUUAUAAGCAGUAUUGGUGGCUUGGUGCAAUUUUGGAAUAUAAUUGUUCUGGGUAAUUAAUUUACUUUACCUUGUUAAUUCCCCUUAACAUUUUGCAUACUUAAUUUAAUUCUUUCAAUAGUUGAACUCUAAUAUGUUGCUAAUUUGCUAGUUUUUUUUUUUAUAGCAUCAUCCUUACUGGAAUUUUUGGAUGCCCAUGCUGCUGUUGCUGGAAUUUUUGGAUGCUGGUGUUGCUGUGUUUUUUUCUUCAAACUAUGCUGGAUGUUUAUGAUAAUUUAUUGUUGAUUGCUAAUGUAUUCGCUUGUUAAUGUUAACUUUUCUAGUGCGAACAAACUUUUAAUUUGAAGUGUUCAAAUUUUAUCAUGCAUCUUGCAUAUUGAAAUUGAUUUAUUGCAUUGCAUGCAUAUUGAAAUUAAUUUAUUGCAUUGUAUCUGUCAGAUUGA
This is a long non-coding RNA of Populus trichocarpa (black cottonwood), 1014 nucleotides long. RefSeq lists it as uncharacterized. The transcript has 4 exons. The record is from RefSeq and is a predicted model, not a curated record. NCBI's taxonomy places the organism in Eukaryota, Viridiplantae, Streptophyta, Magnoliopsida, Malpighiales, Salicaceae.